AUGAACGCUAGCUACAGGCUUAACACAUGCAAGUCGAGGGGAAACGACAUUGAAGCUUGCUUCGAUGGUCGUCGACCGGCGCACGGGUGAGUAACGCGUAUCCAACCUGCCUCUGACCAAGGGAUAACCCGUCGAAAGUCGGCCUAAUACCUUAUGCAGUCGUCGGAAGUCAUCUGAUGACGACGAAAGAUUUCAUCGGUGAGAGAUGGGGAUGCGUCUGAUUAGCUUGUUGGCGGGGUAACGGCCCACCAAGGCAACGAUCAGUAGGGGUUCUGAGAGGAAGGUCCCCCACAUUGGAACUGAGACACGGUCCAAACUCCUACGGGAGGCAGCAGUGAGGAAUAUUGGUCAAUGGGCGAGAGCCUGAACCAGCCAAGUAGCGUGCAGGAUGACGGCCCUAUGGGUUGUAAACUGCUUUUAUGCGGGGAUAAAGUGAGGGACGUGUCCUUCAUUGCAGGUACCGCAUGAAUAAGGACCGGCUAAUUCCGUG
This 490-nucleotide ribosomal RNA is filed under the name uncultured bacterium. RNAcentral describes it as "partial 16S ribosomal RNA". It matches the Rfam family "Bacterial small subunit ribosomal RNA", at positions 29 to 507 of the family's 1533-position model. The record is from RNAcentral.